Molecule: non-coding RNA, 75 nt
Organism: Myotis lucifugus (little brown bat)
Lineage: Eukaryota; Metazoa; Chordata; Mammalia; Chiroptera; Vespertilionidae
Source: Rfam
GACUGUUCUUGGGUGACGCACCACGGACUCAGGCUCCCUCCUGUCUGGUUCCAGGUCUGUCACCUGAGAACUUCC